Molecule: long non-coding RNA, 1309 nt
Filed under: Lathyrus oleraceus (garden pea)
Lineage: Eukaryota; Viridiplantae; Streptophyta; Magnoliopsida; Fabales; Fabaceae
Description: Pisum sativum (pea) long non-coding RNA (PSAT_LNC008284)
Source: RNAcentral
AGAACUUUCUAAUUUCAUACAAAUCAUAAUAAUUUACAAUUGAAUUAUGACCAAAUACAUUACAAAUUUCAGUUACAAUUCGAAAAUCCUAAUCUAUUUCUAACCUAAAUCAUAUUACAAUCAAAUCAGAUUCUAAAAAUUCUAAAAAUCAAUCUAACUUAAUUACAUAAACCCUAAUUCUUAAUCUAUAUAAACCCUAAGAGAAGAACCCUUUGCUGCUGCAAACCCAACCCAUCACUAAAGUUCGAAUUAACUAGAGAUUAGGAUUUCACAUUGAAACCCUAAUUCUUCCGAACUCAGCCUCUUUUACAGCCCAGUGGCACCUCGCAUCAAACAAAGAACAAGAAUUAGAGAAGGAAAUAGUAGGAUCAACAUAGACACACGACAGGGGAAAAAGAAAAAGUUCAAAGCGAUUACCUUUUUACUAAAGAACUUCUCAUCUCUGUAGGUUGGUUGAACUUCGAUGCAUUGCUCAUUUUAUUUGAUUAUGUGAUGUUGUUGUUAUAUAUGAUUGAGUUUAAAUUUGGGGAUCAAGGUCCCGAUAAUCUUAUUUUUGGUUUGUGAUGUGUUUGGACAAUAUUGAUUAUUUGAUGUCUGAUUGGGGUUUAAGGGUUUAUGAUCUAUUGUUUGAUGAAGGUUUGAGUUGAGUCUGGAUAGGAUAUGGUUAGAUCUAGGUUGGGUUAGGGUUCAGGCGAAGGAAGGAGAUAUAGAUUCAUCUUCUUCAAGGGUAGGGUUCACCACGAAGGGGUUAAGGUUCAUCUGGGUAAAGUGUUUAGGGGUUAGGGUUCAUAGGGUUAGGGUUAGGGUUAUUGGUUUGAGAAAUUUUUGGGUUGAUGUUCAUCACCCAGAUGAAUAUCGGUUGAAGACUCCGGUUGAGUUUCAACCAAAAGUAUGGGGUUCAUGAUGGUUCAGGGUGGGGGAUGGUGGUUUCUAGGUUGUGUUUGUGGUUUUAGGAAAACGUUCAUCAUGUUCAUGAUGAACAUGAUGAAUAUGGUGGUCCGGUAGGGGUUGGUGGUGGUACAAGGGCGUGGUUCAAAGAGAGUAAAGAGAGUAAAGAGAGAGACAGAGAGAAGUAGAGAGAGGAAAAAAGAAGAGAAAUGAACAUUUGUGAAGGAAUUCGGUUUAUAUACCCCUCCCUCCAUUACCAAAUCCAGAACACGUGACCCCCUGAUGGCCACACGAUGAGCAUACUUUGACUCAUCCCCAGUGGGUGGUUCCAUUGUACGUCGAUAUUUGACUUCAAUCUCGUCCCUCCAUCUGGAUGACUUCCUCUGGUCAUCCCAUCCAACGUGUGAGGAUCGAUCUUGUU